GACGAACGCUGGCGGCGUGCUUAACACAUGCAAGUCGAACGGAAAGGCCCUGCUUGCAGGGUACUCGAGUGGCGAACGGGUGAGUAACACGUGGGUGAUCUGCCCUGCACUUCGGGAUAAGCCUGGGAAACUGGGUCUAAUACCGGAUAGGAGCCAUUUUUAGUGUGAUGGUUGGAAAGUUUUUUCGGUGUAGGAUGAGCUCGCGGCCUAUCAGCUUGUUGGUGGGGUAAUGGCCUACCAAGGCGGCGACGGGUAGCCGGCCUGAGAGGGUGGACGGCCACCAUGGGGCUGGGGUACGGGCCAGACUCCUACGGGGGGCAGCAGGGGGGAAUAUUGCACAAUGGGCGGAAGCCUUAUGCAGCGACGCCGCGUGGGGGAUUACGGCCUUCGGGUUGUAAACUCCUUUUGCUAGGGACGAAGCUUUUUGUGACGGUACCUAGAUAAGAAGCACCGGCUAACUACGUG
Molecule: ribosomal RNA, 465 nt
Filed under: uncultured bacterium
Lineage: Bacteria
Description: partial 16S ribosomal RNA
Rfam family: Bacterial small subunit ribosomal RNA
Source: RNAcentral